UACGGAGGGGACUAGCGUUGUUCGGAUUUACUGGGCGUAAAGAGCGCGUAGGCGGUUUGUUAAGUUGGAAGUGAAAGCCCGGGGCUCAACCUCGGAACUGCUUCCAAAACUGGCAAACUAGAGUACGGGAGGGGACAGUGGAAUUCCUAGUGUAGAGGUGAAAUUCUUAGAUAUUAGGAGGAACACCGGUGGCGAAGGCG
Molecule: ribosomal RNA, 200 nt
Filed under: uncultured bacterium
Lineage: Bacteria
Description: partial 16S ribosomal RNA
Rfam family: Bacterial small subunit ribosomal RNA
Source: RNAcentral